GAUGAACGCUGGCGGCGUGCCUAAUACAUGCAAGUCGAGCGAACAGACGAGGAGCUUGCUCCUCUGACGUUAGCGGCGGACGGGUGAGUAACACGUGGAUAACCUACCUAUAAGACUGGGAUAACUUCGGGAAACCGGAGCUACUACCAGCUAAUAUAUUGAACCGCAUGGUUCAAUAGUGAAAGACGGUUUUGCUGUCACUUUUAGAUGGAUCCGCGCCGCAUUAGCUAGUUGGUAAGGUAACGGCUUACCAAGGCAACGAUGCGUAGCCGACCUGAGAGGGUGAUCGGCCACACUGGAACUGAGACACGGUCCAGACUCCUACGGGAGGCAGCAGUAGGGAAUCUUCCGCAAUGGGCGAAAGCUUGACGGAGCAACGCCGCGUGAGUGAUGAAGGUCUUCGGAUCGUAAAACUCUGUUAUUAGGGAAGAACAAAUGUGUAAGUAACUAUGCACGUCUUGACGGUACCUAAUCAGAAAGCCACGGCUAACUACGUG
RNAcentral lists this ribosomal RNA (497 nucleotides) under uncultured bacterium. RNAcentral's name for it is "partial 16S ribosomal RNA". It matches the Rfam family "Bacterial small subunit ribosomal RNA", at positions 28 to 507 of the family's 1533-position model. The record is from RNAcentral.